RNAcentral lists this ribosomal RNA (253 nucleotides) under uncultured bacterium. RNAcentral's name for it is "partial 16S ribosomal RNA". It matches the Rfam family "Bacterial small subunit ribosomal RNA", at positions 524 to 776 of the family's 1533-position model. The record is from RNAcentral.
UACGAAGGGGGCUAGCGUUGCCCGGAAUUGCUGGGCGUAAAGGGCGCGUAGGCGGACAGUUUAGUCAGAGGUGAAAGCCCAGGGCUCAACCUUGGAAUUGCCUUUGAUACUGGCUGUCUUGAGUUCGGGAGAGGUGAGUGGAAUGCCGAGUGUAGAGGUGAAAUUCGUAGAUAUUCGGCGGAACACCAGUGGCGAAGGCGACUCACUGGCCCGAUACUGACGCUGAGACUCGAAAGCAUGGGGAGCAAACAGG